This 305-nucleotide ribosomal RNA is filed under the name uncultured bacterium. Its description in RNAcentral is "bacterial SSU rRNA". It matches the Rfam family "Bacterial small subunit ribosomal RNA", at positions 334 to 651 of the family's 1533-position model. The record is from RNAcentral.
GAGCCUACGGGACGCAGCAGUCGAGAAUCAUUCACAAUGGGGGAAACCCUGAUGGUACGACGCCGCGUGGGGGAACGAAGGUCUUCGGAUUGUAAACCCUUGUCAUGUGGGAGCAAAUUAAAAAGAUAGUACCACAAGAGGAAGAGACGGCUAACUCUGUGCCAGCAGCCGCGGUAAUACAGAGGUCUCAAGCGUUGUUCGGAAUCACUGGGCGUAAAGCGUGCGUAGGCUGUUUCGUAAGUCGUGUGUGAAAGGCGCGGGCUCAACCCGCGGACGGCACAUGCUACUGCGAUACUAGAGUAAUG